RNAcentral lists this ribosomal RNA (440 nucleotides) under uncultured bacterium. RNAcentral's name for it is "partial 16S ribosomal RNA". It matches the Rfam family "Bacterial small subunit ribosomal RNA", at positions 338 to 795 of the family's 1533-position model. The record is from RNAcentral.
CCUACGGGUGGCAGCAGUGGGGAAUAUUGGACAAUGGGGGGAACCCUGAACCAGCGACGCCGCGUGAGUGAAGAAGUAUUUCGGUAUGUAAAGCUCUAUCAGCAGGGAAGAAAAUGACGGUACCUGACUAAGAAGCCCCGGCUAACUACGAGCCAGUAGCCGCGGUUAUAUGGAGGGGGCAAGCGUUAUACGGAUUUACUGGGUUUAAGGGGAGCGUAGACGGUGCAGCAAGUCUGAUGUGAAAGGUCGGGGCCCAACCCCGGGACUGCAUUGGAAACUGUGGAACUGGAGUACAGGAGAGGUAAGCGGAAUUCCUGGUGUAGCGGUGAAAUGCGUAGAUAUUAGGAGGAACACCAGUGGCGAAGGCGGCUUACUGGACUGUAACUGACGUUGAGGCUCGAAAGCGUGGGGAGCAAACAGGAUUAGAUACCCUGGUAGUC